Molecule: long non-coding RNA, 6045 nt
Filed under: Canis lupus familiaris (dog)
Lineage: Eukaryota; Metazoa; Chordata; Mammalia; Carnivora; Canidae
Description: lncRNA (ENSCAFG00000059151.1)
Source: RNAcentral
CCUUUAUAUUCAAAGUAAAGUAACAAUUUUGGCUGUGUUGGGUUUCACUGAGAAAAACUGCCACAGUGACUCCUGCCUGCUUUAACAAGCUCAUCUUUUACCAUGCUUCCCCUUACUUACUUAUUUAGGCUUUCAUUGUACUGGCUUCUUUUGAGUUUGUCUAAUAAACCAAACUCCUCUUUCUCCCAGUCUUUGCAUAUUUUACUUCUGCUUGGACCUUACCUGUUCUAUCCCUUUCACAUUUUCAACUUAAAUGUCCUGUUCUUAGAGGGUCCAGUAGUUGAAUGGUUCAGAAAGGUAGGAAACCUGUCUAUUCUGUUUUCCACACUAUACUCAAAACUUAGCACCAUGCCCGGGAUAUAGUUAGAACUUGGUAAUAAAUAUAUGAUCUUGAGGGAAAUAGGAGAAUCUCUGUGGAAUAUUUCUUCAGGGGUGAAGAACUACUUUAUGUACUUUAAAAUUUCCAAUGUAUUACUGAUCCACAGGUAUUCAGUCUUAUAACAAGAUAGUCAAUCAGUAGUCAAUCAGUAUCAAUACAUUUCUUAAAGGGAGCCCCUCUUCAAAAGAUAUAUAUAAAUAUAAAUAUAUAGCAGUGCUGACUUUGAAGAAAACAUCUGUAUCUGGACUACAACAUAGAAUAUGCACAAAAGUUAGCAAGUCAUUCCUACUAAAUCUUUAAUAGUUAUAGGGGAGUCAGAGGUUUGUCAAACAAGAUUGGUAUUAAUGUUAUUUUUUCUCAGGUAAAAUAUAGGUCUGUCAAGUAAUAUUUCAGGUUGAAAUGUCAUUGAUUAAGCCACCUCUGUUUAGUUCAGUCUCCACAAUGUUAGCCAAUUGAGUGUAACUUAUGUAAAUUCUGCCCUAUUCUCAUACUGAUUUUCUUAAGGAAUUUUUUAACCAGCACACUUAAAAAAAACCCCAAGUGUACGCUGUAAGAAAACCAUCAAUUCAAAAACAAAAGCCAGUUCACUUGUAAUUAAUAGAGGAUGGUUAUGGUAUUUAUUACAUAUGAAUAAGGAAAAAUUGAGGGCUACCCACAUAAUCUUUGCCAGCAACAGCUCACAUACCAAACUCUGAGAAAUGUGAGUUUGACUUGUAGGUCUCUGCAAAGAAUGGGGUUUGGCUACAUAGCAUAUGUGUUAUUAAGGUUUGGAAGGACAAACAGCAAUUCCUGUUCAGCUUUAGCAUCACAUGUGUGUUUUUAGAGUAUACUCAGUACCACAGUUACCAGGCCACACAUAGCUUUGAAAUUUUUUAAAAAUGCAUCUUACAAUGCAAUUCUUAUACAUACUAAUGAAAGUAAAAUGUGUGUGAUUUUAAAGUAAACUGUGGUAUCUUUUAACUCAUUUGUGGUUAGCUUUGAGUAUAUUCUGCUGUGUUUCCUUGUUAGAUAGGUAUAUAAACAUCAUGUGUGUGAGACUUUGUAUUGUUAUUUUAAGAAACGUGUGUGGUUUCCUGUUCUUCUUUUAAUACCUCUCAGCUGUAAUCAUAGAUCUCACAUUUAUAGCAGAAUAAGAAAAUAUUAUGAGAGGAAUAAUUAACUUUAAGACACCAAAAAUAGGUGUUGGGAGUGGUGAUUAUGUAUCUUCAUUAGCAUAUAUAUAGUUAAAUAUCUUGUUGUUUCUAGGGAGAAAAAUCAAAUUAACCACAGGUUGUUACCUCAUACAGGUGCACAUAUAAGAGAUGUAUAAAAGUUGUUGAAAACAUGAAAUUACAAACACUGUAAUCAAAAUUUAAAAAUACAUAAUAUUUAUUACUAAGCUCUAAUCAUAUGCCAAGGACUGUGCUAAGAACUUUAUUUCAUUUAAUUGUUUAAACAACUCUAUCUAAGGGAGGGGCAUCUGGCUAGCUCAGUUGGUAGAGCAUGUGACUCUCAAUCUUGGUUGCUCCAAGCCCCACAUUAGGCAUGGAACCUACUUAAAAAACAUCUUAAGGGAGAUACGGAACUGAGCCUUGAAAGGUUUAAAAUAACUUGCUAGAGGUCACCCAGCCAGUAAAUGGUGAGGAUGAGAUUCAUACUUGUUGGAUUCCAGAGCCUGAGCUCUACACAUUUUCAAUGCCAGAUUCUAAAAAUCAUCUUUCAUCAAGUCCUUCCGUAUUCUGCAUAAUGGCUGUGAUCUAAUAUAUGGACCACUGGCUGACCUAGUAGAUGGGGGAAACCAUUGUUCUGGUUUUUACCCUUGCUUUCAAAUCAGGGCUUUUGCAUAUCAUAGAAAUAAUAUCUAACUCUUUACAAAAAUGAUCAGGCAACAGUAUUAUCAGUAGUAUCAUUAAUGAGUGCCAAAAACUGCUAUUACAGCGAGCAAAAUCAUGUGGUAACAUACUUCUGAUGCAGGCUGAAACAUGUAUACACAGCUACUCCUACUUCAGUGUGCUUGCUAAAUGAGACUGUUUAUUACUUCAGGUAUACAGGUGUUGAAGUUCAGAUGAUUGAGUACAAUGCAAUAAUGGAUGGUCACGGUUUGGCUUCCUUCCUUUGACUUCCUUGUAGAUAGUUAGCUGUUUGUGGUCAGAACAGGAAUAUGGGCUCAGUGCCAGCCAGGUACAUGGUAUGUUUGGGUAAAUAUAGUAAUUAGAAAAAAGCAGACUAACAUCCAAAUCUAGAAGAGAUGCCUGAGACUGAGGUUAGUAAGAAUCCACAUAAAAUAUCUAAAAUAAGCUGGCUAUAGGAAACUCCUCAAAAGCAGCACAGUUUAUCUUGUGAUUUAAAGACAAGUUAUUUCAAUACAUAUUGUUAGGUAGUGGCCUAUUUAAAAUUUAUUCAGUGGAAGAAACCUACAAAUAUGGGUGUCAUGAUAAAGGAUGUGCAUGAUACAUACAUUUAGUUUGUAUAAAUUCUCUUACAUAAAUAUUCCUUUAAGUGAGAAUACUGUAUUUAAAAUUAUGUUUGGAUUAUGUAUUCUUUUAUAUCCUGUUUUACUAGACAUUGUACUGAAUAUUAUUUUACAGAACUUUGUAUACUCUAGGCUAUUUAUGGAAUUUUUAGGGACAUUUUGACUAUGUAUAAUUUUUGCCUUAUAACACUAACUUUGGAAUCAACCUACAAGUUAGUUGUGACACUAGAGGUCAGAAGAGAUUGUUGUUGUGAUAAUAACUGCGGUAAGAAAUGGAUAUGAAUGUGUUACAGUUUAAAAGUUUUUGUAGUGUCUAGAAUGUAUCCAGUAGUAAAGAUGUCCUAAUUAUAGAUAGGGGGCUAUGGUUCUUUAUACAGACAUAUGGAGGGGAAAGGGAAAGAUAAUUUAUUAAUCAGCAAUGACUUUUGAGGGAAAUCUACCUUAAAAUGUAUCCACCAAAAAUCCAUCUCAAGUAUAAUUUGGUUUUCUACCUGUAAGAUUCUUCCUAGAAGAAAGAAUUGGACCUCUUCUAUACAUUUAACCACUACAUACCACUCGUGCAUUAAUUGUAGUCUGGCUUGUAUUUUAUGUAUUGUUGUCCAAGCCCUCUCACCAGAUUAUGAAUUUAUUCAGGAUGGGGAUUAUUUUUUACCUUUGUAUUCAUUGUAGUGCCAGCACUGAGGGUAGUAAGAACUCAAAAACAUCAGGUAAAUUUUUCGGAUUGUUGGAUCAGCUAGCAUUCCCAUGGUAAAUUAAAAAGUGAUUUACUAGUUUAUAAAUCAAUCUCUUGUGAGUUUGGUUAACACAAAUGAAUUUCUCAGAGUUUCAUUCCCAUGGGUGAACUGAUAAAAUUAGAUUUCACUAGACUGGUACAUGUAUCAGAAGGGUCCAAGGGACAGAGUUUCUAAUAAAUUCCUAAAAAUAAACUGCACAUUUCUCUAGUGCAUAUCAGUGGAAUUUCAUGAUAAGCUAAUCCUCUUCUUGCACCACAUUCUUUGAUGUAUUGUUACAUCUUACCAUGUCCAAAUAGGAAUAAGAGUGUAGAUUUCUUUUAAUGAUUGCCUUAUUAUUAUUGUAGAAUAACGUAACUCUCCACUUCUGGAAUGUUUUUUAAAGUAUAUAAAUAUAUUGAAGAAAAGAGUUUAAAUCUUUAUAUAAUCUAGAGAUUUUAAAAAUUAGAAUGAAAAAUGGGCAGAAAUAAUAAAUUAAUUUAUCAAUCCCUAAAGGCAAGAGGCAACAAGUUCCAUCUUGAAAGUCUCAGCAGAUCUGUGAUCUGUAUACUACAGGUAUAGUUAGGAGGCUGGUGUUUUGAGUAGGAAGAUAAUGGUUUUUAAUUGGCUCAUCACUGAAGUUUCAUUCUGAAAGGAGGGAAAUGAACUUAACGCCAAUAUUAACAGGUGAUAAUUAAAUUAUGGGUUCUGCAUGCUUAAUAUCCUACACUCAGGCAAGAUGAGGCAACUGGAGGCCAUUAACUUUAAUAAUUUGAGUCAGUGUCUCUCUUAAGUAGGAUUUUAUAGCAUAUUAGCAAUGGUUGAUUAGUAUUAAAUCAGAAAAUAAACUGUUUUCUUAUGAGAGCAUGUUUUACUAAUUUCAUCUUCAUACCUAUGCAUUUAAAUGUAUAGAAUAAUUUACAUGAAGUAUUAUGUCUUCAAAGGCAAAUAAAAAAAUAAAUGUAAAACAUUUGUUGUCAAAUCCUAAAAUUAAUAUUUCUAUUUCUAAACAUUGUUUUCUACAUUUAUCAUGGAUUAAAAAGCAGUGUUCAGGGACACCUGGGUAGCUCAGGGGUUGAGUAUCUGCCUUCAGCUCAGGGAGUGAUCCCGUGGUCCUGGGAUUGAGUCCCACAUUGGGUUCCCUGCGUGGAGACUGCUUCUCCCUAUGCCUGUGUCUCUGCCUCUCUCUCUCUCUCUAUCUCUCAUGAAUAAAUAAAAAAAUAAAUAAAAAUAAAUAAAAGCAGUGUUCAAAAUGAAGGCCCAUGAUUAUUUAACUUUAAUCACGAAGAACUGAUUUAAACGUUUAAACAUUUAAUUUUACUAUUAAAGCUGAAACAUCCCUGAUUGAAAUGUUCAAGUAUUCUUUUGUAAAUAUUUUAUCCAUGUUUGACUCAAUGUUUUAAAUAUUAAGGUGUUAUUCCACGUAACUUGUAUGCAGUUUGAUAUAGGCAUCCUGUAGGAAUUAUAUCACAGUAAUGACCAUCCUCUUUCUAAAGAAUGUUUUAUUUGUUUUAUUCUUACAUUUAAUGAGUAUCUGCAUUUCUAGUAUUUUUAAACAUCGCUGCUACCACAUUAACUUUGAAAUACUUAAUGUCAUAUGUUUAUAUUUGGGGCUUUUGUUAAACGUCCCUACCUGUCUUGAGAAGUUCACUUUUGUUAUGACUUAGAGUGACCAUAUAAGUUACUAUCCAGAUUUUUGGGGAGUGAAAGGGGAUGCUUUUUUAAAAAACGAAUAUGCCAGGAAAAUAGGGACAAACCAGGAAGUAUAUCAGCCUAGUAUAAUAGUAGACCAUUAUUAUAGCACAAUACUUGGGUUAAUAUAAUCCCAUUCUGAAGAAAUGCUUUCAGAAUCCCUGGUUGGGAGAACAGGAGUGCAUGUCUUCCUCCUUGUUACAUAACAGUGUAAGAUUUGGGUCUCUCUCAACUCCAAGCCACUGGAGGUGUGUAUGUUGUUUUCACUUUGGUGUCCCUAGCAGCCUGCAGGGUGUCCUGCACAUGAAGAUGAAACUAGCAGAAUCCUGGGUUUCAGACUAGAGAAGUGUGCUGAAGUUGUGCAAAAAUGGUUGAGAAUGAAGGAAAUUGGAGGUGGAGGAAGAGGGAAACACAGGGCUCUCCUUCCUGUUUCAACUCCACAGGAGAGUAUUCCAUUAUUACUGUUCUUACUAAAUGAUGAGAAUUGGAGGUGGCAUUCCUUCUUUUCCGUCUUCACUAAUUUAGUCUUAUACUCAGUACCAACUCAGAGCAAGCCAAAGAUCGCUCAUGAGAAUAGUAGGUUCACCAGGGUUCAAUGGAGGGGAGUUGUUUGCAGAUCUGGGGUUUACAGCCCUCUUCAUUUCACUUGUUGCUCUCUAUCCUACUGCUGAAGAUGGCAUUUUGACUGCAAAGGGCUGAUCAUUUAUAGUAUAGAAGGGCAAAGAAGGAGAGGACAGGGGAGGUGAGGUGAGAGUAGAGAGAGAGGAAUUGGGAAAGUAGUAGAGGAUGUGGUCCCAGGCCAUAAUAGAUUU